Oreochromis aureus is the source of this 911-nucleotide long non-coding RNA. RefSeq lists it as uncharacterized. The record is from RefSeq and is a predicted model, not a curated record. The transcript is spliced from 3 exons. NCBI's taxonomy places the organism in Eukaryota, Metazoa, Chordata, Actinopteri, Cichliformes, Cichlidae.
ACGACUUGACACCGCACGUGUGAAAGCACCCUGAAUCAUAAAGUCCUGCACCGAAAUCUCAGGAUAUUCUUUUGAGGCCAAGAUGGAGAGGUUUGAACGGUGUGGUACAAAGAAACUGUCGCUCAGCGUGAGUCAGCCAGGAGUAGAUAAGAGAGGGAAAAACCUAGUGUUAGGUAAAGAGCCACAAGAGGGCGCUAGAGGUAAGGAAAACAUUUAAAGAAAAGCUGCAGAGGAAAACCAAACGUGGACAAGCGGAAAGAAGAAGAAACAGCAAGACCCCAAGAAGCAUUUACCCAGAUCAGGAAAGUCUGGUGCACCAAGCUGCAUUUGUUCAACCCAAACGUCGGUCUGUAUACAAAAGUUUCCCUGGGUAAAGUCCAGACUUUCAUAUAACAGUUUCAGCUCUGACUCUUCUCAGAUAACUGUCUAGAAAGGUUUAAUCAAAAUCAACUUAUGGCAGCAGACAGAGCAACGGUCCAGGAAGAAAAGAUCUCGAGUAGGAGGUGGGGAUGGCUCGGGACACCCUGAGAAAGCCGACAUCCAGCAACACAAAACAGUCCCUGACCUCGAGCCCUUGGGACACACAUCAACAAAACAGGGAUGGGAUGGGCGAUAAAGGCAACUCAGGACUGAGAGUGCUGAGGGGCAACUGCCAAUAGCCUUCGUUCCAGGAGGGGCAAGAGGCCUAACAACGCGAUGAGAUGUUAUACUAGCAUUGCCAGCACCCUGCAAAGGGCAAAGUACACUCUAAGAAAACUACAAAGGGUAACCCUUACUAGAAAGCCAUAAAAACAGUUCCUGUAUAAGUACUCAUAGUGAGACAGAAACAAAGCCAGUGAUACAACUAUCAUGCCUGUAAUCACAUAUUUCUAUCUGAAAAUUAAAUUAGUUCUUUUUAUGUCCUAAAAAUA